This 78-nucleotide non-coding RNA is filed under the name uncultured Neokomagataea sp. RNAcentral describes it as "Glycine riboswitch". The stretch from base 5 to 74 matches the Rfam family "Glycine riboswitch aptamer", at positions 11 to 84 of the family's 94-position model. From Rfam's summary of the family: This family represents the bacterial glycine riboswitch. Glycine riboswitches usually consist of two metabolite-binding aptamers domains with similar structures in tandem. The record is from RNAcentral. Lineage: Bacteria; Pseudomonadati; Pseudomonadota; Alphaproteobacteria; Acetobacterales; Acetobacteraceae.
AGCACGGGAGAGACUAGCCGCAAGGCUGGCGCCGAAGGAGCAACCGCCCCGGAAACUCUCAGGCCAAAGGACCGGUUG